Molecule: non-coding RNA, 372 nt
Organism: Podarcis muralis (Common wall lizard)
Lineage: Eukaryota; Metazoa; Chordata; Lepidosauria; Squamata; Lacertidae
Source: RefSeq, a predicted model, not a curated record
AUCUAGAUCCGCUUUCUGAAGCAAUGAUGUGUCCCCCCCCUUUCCUCCUUAGGGAUGCUGGGAGUUAGAGGCACUAUGGCAAGUGAGCCAACGCCAACCAUCUAUGACAUCACCCAGCUUGACAACAGCUGCAUGGAAUUCUGGGAGUAUCCUGGGCCCCAAGAUCCCAUGGAACGAAGGAAGAUGCUGCCAUGAACCCUGGGCUCUUUUUAGCCCACCCUGCCAGGCCAGAGACCGGAGACCAUGGCUAAGGUGCGAGACAGAGACCAGCUUAGCGAGAGAGAGACGGACAGCCUCGGUUCAGACUCGGUGUCCUUAAGGGAUGAGGAUUCCAGCAUCUUCAAUCUGGACCAAGAAGAGGAGGAGGAACAG